UAGAGAUUAGUUUGAUCCUGGCUCAGAUUGAACGCUGGCGGCAUGCUUUACACAUGCAAGUCGAACGGCAGCACGGGAGCUUGCUCCUGGUGGCGAGUGGCGAACGGGUGAGUAAUGCAUCGGAACGUACCCAGUCAUGGGGGAUAACUACGCGAAAGCGUGGCUAAUACCGCAUACGCCCUGAGGGGGAAAGCGGGGGACUCUUUCGGGAGCCUCGCGUGAUUGGAGCGGCUGAUGUCGGAUUAGCUAGUAGGUGGGGUAAAGGCUCACCUAGGCGACGAUCCGUAGCUGGUCUGAGAGGAUGAUCAGCCACACUGGGACUGAGACACGGCCCAGACUCCUACGGGAGGCAGCAGUGGGGAAUUUUGGACAAUGGGGGCAACCCUGAUCCAGCCAUGCCGCGUGAGUGAAGAAGGCCUUCGGGUUGUAAAGCUCUUUCAGUCGGGAAGAAACGGGCCGCUCUAAUAUGGCGGUCUAAUGACGGUACCGACAGAAGAAGCACCGGCUAACUACGUGCCAGCAGCCGCGGUAAUACGUAGGGUGCGAGCGUUAAUCGGAAUUACUGGGCGUAAAGCGUGCGCAGGCGGUUGUGUAAGACAGGUGUGAAAUCCCCGGGCUUAACCUGGGAACUGCGCUUGUGACUGCACGGCUAGAGUACGGCAGAGGGGGGUGGAAUUCCACGUGUAGCAGUGAAAUGCGUAGAUAUGUGGAGGAACACCGAUGGCGAAGCAGCCCCCUGGGCCGAUACUGA
RNAcentral lists this ribosomal RNA (751 nucleotides) under uncultured Pseudomonadota bacterium. RNAcentral describes it as "bacterial SSU rRNA". It matches the Rfam family "Bacterial small subunit ribosomal RNA", at positions 1 to 743 of the family's 1533-position model. The record is from RNAcentral. Lineage: Bacteria; Pseudomonadati; Pseudomonadota.